Molecule: long non-coding RNA, 741 nt
Organism: Ictalurus punctatus (channel catfish)
Lineage: Eukaryota; Metazoa; Chordata; Actinopteri; Siluriformes; Ictaluridae
Source: Ensembl
GGGUGAUAAGCUUGUGGUGCUGACUUCUUUAUGUACCCAUUCUGACAUGUGUAUAGUGUGCAGUGUAUUCACAUGGCCUCUUUUACCACCACCCACAGAUUCAUGAGAAAAACAAGUUACAUGCCGAAAGCUGCCAUCAUUGGCUGCCCACACAUGGGCAAAAAAAAAAGGAGGGUGUGGGGGACAAUGUGAAGGUGUUGCUGGCUGACGCCGCUGUAAGCCACUGUGGCUCAGGUGAGGCGGGUGCUCCUUUCAGGUCCAUCAUCUGCACUCUUCCCAUCAUACUCAUGAGAAACUCCCAGCGUGCCUUCAGGGCCAUCUCUCGCCAGUAACAGAUGUACAUCAUUGCUGUGCCUGUUGACAUAAAUAUGGAUCAAAGCAAGAAGCCUUUCGUGUUGAAUAUCAGCAUGCCUGAGUCUGUCUAGGAUCUGGAAAGAAGUAGGAUGGGAAGCUAAAAACCAGGAGGAGGAGGAGGAGGAGAGUUCUAUGUGUGGAAUGCUCCAAACCCAGGGCUGGUGUUGCGACUCGUCCCAGACUCUGUGCCGUCACCGCUGGGGUCUGUGGCCAGACCUCCGUAUGCCAGACCUGCUGGCUCCAGAUCCCGCCCAGGCCAGUUUAGCUGCAGUGCAGGACCCAUAAUUACAGCACGACACACUACUCCCCCCCUCCACUCCCUUCUCUCUUACUGUUAAAAAGUGCAGAAGAAAGAGAGAUGUACUGCUUAAUAGGAAUAUGAUGCAG